GAGUUUGAUCAUGGCUCAGGAUGAACGCUGGCGGCGUGCCUAACACAUGCAAGUCGAGCGCGGUUGUGCUUAGUAUUGAGUGUUUUAUUGAUAUAAAACAUUGAAUUCUAUGCACAACUGAGCGGCGGACGGGUGAGUAACGCGUGGGUAACCUGCCCUAUACACAUGGAUAACAUACUGAAAAGUUUACUAAUACAUGAUAACAUAGUUUUUCGGCAUCGAAGAAUUAUCAAAGUGUUAGCGGUAUAGGAUGGACCCGCGUCUGAUUAGCUAGUUGGUGAGAUAACUGCCCACCAAGGCGACGAUCAGUAGCCGACCUGAGAGGGUGAUCGGCCACAUUGGAACUGAGACACGGUCCAAACUCCUACGGGAGGCAGCAGUGGGGAAUAUUGCACAAUGGGCGCAAGCCUGAUGCAGCAACGCCGCGUGAACGAUGAAGGUCUUCGGAUCGUAAAGUUCUGUUGCAGGGGAAGAUAAUGACGG
RNAcentral lists this ribosomal RNA (483 nucleotides) under Peptostreptococcus sp. canine oral taxon 033. RNAcentral describes it as "bacterial SSU rRNA". It matches the Rfam family "Bacterial small subunit ribosomal RNA", at positions 9 to 457 of the family's 1533-position model. Lineage: Bacteria; Bacillati; Bacillota; Clostridia; Peptostreptococcales; Peptostreptococcaceae. The record is from RNAcentral.